RNAcentral lists this transfer RNA (62 nucleotides) under Psorthaspis legata. Its description in RNAcentral is "tRNA-Tyr". Lineage: Eukaryota; Metazoa; Arthropoda; Insecta; Hymenoptera; Pompilidae. The record is from RNAcentral.
AGUAUUAUGGCUGAUAAAAGCAGUAAACUGUAAAUUUACACAUAAGAUUCUCUUUAAUACUA